AUGUUCUCUGUAUCUCUGAUGCUGCUGCUGACAGCUGGGUCAGGGGUCUUCUGUAUUGAUCUAAUCCAGCCAGACUCUAAAGUUUUGCAGCCUGGAGAGUCUCUGACUAUCACCUGUAAGCCCUCUGGUUACUCUAUAACUGAUAGCAGCUAUGCAACAGGUUGGAUCAGACAUCGCAAAGGAAAAGCAAUGGAAUGGAUCUUUCAUAUGUGGGGUGAUGGGAGCUUAACCCAGAAUGAUGCUCUGAAGAACAAGUUCAGCUACAGCAGAGACACUUCGGCUGGAACAGUAACAAUAACGGGACAGAAUAUGCAGCCUGAAGACACAGCUGUUUAUUACUGUGUGAGGUGGCACAGUGAUACAAACCACAGAGGAUGCUAUGUGUUCUGUAUUGAUCUCAUCCAGCCAGACUCUAAAGUUGUGCAGCCUGGACAGUUUCUGACUAUCACCUGUCAGCUCUCUGGUUACUCUAUAACUGAUAACAGCUAUGCAACAGGUGUGUUCUGUAUUGAUCUCAUCCAGCCAGACUCUAAAGUUGUGCAGCCUGGACAGUCUCUGACUAUCACCUGUCAGCCCUCUGGUUACUCUAUAACUGAUGGCAGCUAUGCAACAGAACCUGACUUGCCUGGAAACCUGAAACACUGA
Cyprinodon variegatus (sheepshead minnow) is the source of this 645-nucleotide non-coding RNA. NCBI's taxonomy places the organism in Eukaryota, Metazoa, Chordata, Actinopteri, Cyprinodontiformes, Cyprinodontidae. The record is from the annotation of a RefSeq genome assembly.